Callorhinus ursinus (northern fur seal) is the source of this 122-nucleotide non-coding RNA. Lineage: Eukaryota; Metazoa; Chordata; Mammalia; Carnivora; Otariidae. The record is from RefSeq and is a predicted model, not a curated record.
GACAGCGAUGGGGAGGGAGGGGCAGUGCUGUUACACUGGGAUGGAGAGAGGUACCUCUUGGGGUCCCUCCCACCCCCAGCUUCUUUCCUCCAUUUCUUCUCAAUCUUGCCCAGCUGUCCCCU